CACAGCAAGUCCCACUCUCUCUCUCUGCACUUGUCGUGCUCUCCCCGGAUACACACGCACACUUCCCAGGGAUCCGCCUCCUGUGUUUAUUUCCACGGCCACGUGUUCUCCGCUUGGUUCCAUCCGUUUAGCUUCUCCUGGUUUCGGCUCUUGUAUCUUUCCACCUGUCGCCGCCGGCGUUUCCCUUUUUUUUCGCGCCUUCUUGUGUGUGCGUGUGCUUGCCAUGCUCCGCGGCCUCGUCAACGCAGACGCGCUCACCUCAGAGCAGGUUGAGCACAUUGACCAACUCCAACAUGAGAUCGACGAAAUCUGGAACCGGCGCGGCAACUACCAGAUCGACCCAGACGCGUGGGAGACGAUGCCGUUCUUUAUGGAGAAUAUUACGGAGGAAGAUAUUGACAAGAACGCCAACUGCGCAGCGCUCGCAUCCAUCGUGUACGACGAGGUGCCACCGGACGAGAUUGCCGAGAAUCGCAAGGAGCACGGCAACCGCGCCUUGAGCAUGGCUCUGAACCCCAACCAAGAGCGCCGCGAGAACCUCGCACGUGCUGCGUGUUACAGCUACACCGAGGCCUUGCAAGCCAAGGGAAAGAACACGAAGCUGUCCUCCACCAUCUACGCCAACCGUAGCCUUGCCCAGUUUAUCAUUGGCAACUAUGGCCACGCGCUCGCGGACGCGCAGCGGUCCAUCAUCCUCGACCCUGACUACCGCAAGGCAUACUACCGAGCUGCGAAGUGCGCAUUCGCACUGAAGAAGUACGACAUGGGGCUUCAGCUGCUCGAGAAGGGGCGGCGUGUCGUUGACCCGCCCAUGGACGCCGCGGCGCAGGCGGAGUUUUUGGAAAUGGAAAAGAAGUGCUUGCAGGGCAAGGAGCAGCAAACAUCAGAGGAGGCGAAACAGCGGCGCGCGGCGCGCUCGCAGGCGGCGAAAGUGUCGAAUGUGGCUCGCGCCAUCACCUCCAGCGGCAUCAAGAUCUCCUCCAGGGCGGAGGUGACGAGCGAGCAGAUGGGGGUCUACGGCAACCCAAAGCCAUACUUUGACACGGACGGCAUGCUGCACGUUCCGCUGCUCUUCAUAUACGACGAGUACCAGCAGACAGACAUCAUGCACGACGUCGCGUGUGACGUGUGCGCAGCGGAGCUCCUCGAUGAGCUCAUGCCCUUCCCCUGGGACGAUCGCGGACGCUACCAAAAGCUUGACGACAUUAUCGUCUUCUUCAAGAUCGAUGACGGCGCCAACGACGCACAGUACUACGAGGUCGACCAGUCCUGGCCACUGCUUGAGGUGUUCCGCGAAGAGGCGUACGAGAUGCCGCAGCUGAUGCCCGUGCUGCACGUUGUGUGCAAGGCCAGCGAACUCGUUGAUCGUCUCAAAAUCCACCGCGUUGCGUGAGUGUCGGUGUUGCUCGCAAAAAGGCGAGAGACGAGAGUGAGAGGCGAGCGACUUCUGGAGGCGCAUGCCUUGCGCCUAUCUGUCUCUACGUAUGCGUUUACAGGUAUACCCCUGCUCACGCAUUCUGUCUGCUGUCAUGUUCGUGGCCAUGCUCCUGCUCCAGCCUGGCUACGCUGACACGUCGCUGGCGGCUGCAACUCCCCGUCUCCUUUCCUUUUCUUCCCUCCCUCCUCCCCCACCGCAGCUCUCGUCAGCACCCACAGGCUCGCCUGCGGAUACCGUUAGCGCGUGUGCACCGCGUCUUGUCCGCCCUUCGCGUGCACACGCCUCUCCGCACCUCUUCAGCGCAUCUUUCCCUGCCUCUCUGUGUUUCCUUUUGCUCACAUCUCGUGUAAUGUCCGGCGCGUCGCGGACUUUCUCGCCGCUUCCCCUCUCGUGUAAAACGGCCAGUCCUUCGCAUCUAAGCCGAGCGGCAAUGGACCCACCCAUGCCGGCCCACGAAAACGCACCUGCACACCGAAUGCACGCACAUGGAAGAGACACGCACGGCCAACCGCGCAGACGCGCAUCUCUGUGUGCAUGUGUGUACA
This 1983-nucleotide unclassified non-coding RNA is filed under the name Leishmania donovani. Its description in RNAcentral is "gene:LdHU3.33.1060(CDS-product:hypothetical_prote in_conserved)". The record is from RNAcentral. Lineage: Eukaryota; Euglenozoa; Kinetoplastea; Trypanosomatida; Trypanosomatidae.